RNAcentral lists this ribosomal RNA (1333 nucleotides) under metagenome. RNAcentral describes it as "SSU rRNA". It matches the Rfam family "Eukaryotic small subunit ribosomal RNA", at positions 1 to 1368 of the family's 1831-position model. The record is from RNAcentral.
UCUGGUUGAUCCUGCCAGUAGUCAUAUGCUUGUCUCAAAGAUUAAGCCAUGCAUGUCUAAGUAUAAAUAGUAUACAGUGAAACUGCGAAUGGCUCAUUAAAACAGUUAUAGUUUAUUUGAUAAUUGACAAUUACAUGGAUAACCGUGGUAAUUCUAGAGCUAAUACAUGCUUAAACGCCCGACUUUAUGGAAGGGUGGUAUUUAUUAGAUUGAAGCCAAUAUUUUUUGUGUCUAUUGUGGUGAUUCAUAAUAACUGAUCGAAUCUCUUUUUGAGAUAAAUCAUUCAAGUUUCUGCCCUAUCAGCUUUCGAUGGUAGUGUAUUGGACUACCAUGGCAGUAACGGGUAACGAAGAAUUAGGGUUCGAUUUCGGAGAGGGAGCAUGAGAAACGGCUACCACAUCUAAGGAAGGCAGCAGGCGCGUAAAUUACCCAAUCCUGACUCAGGGAGGUAGUGACAAGAAAUAGCAAACCGGGAACCUUAUGGUUUCACGGUAUUGCAAUGAGAACAAUUUAAAACCCUUAGCGAGAAUCAAGUGGAGGACAAGUCUGGUGCCAGCACCCGCGGUAAUUCCAGCUCCACUAGCGUAUAUUAAAGUUGUUGCAGUUAAAAAGCUCGUAGUUGAACCUCUGUCUGGGGCUAGUUUUGGCUUUGGUCAGGCUAGUUCUAGGCAUCCGCCUACAAGACUUAGAGGGCAUUCAGUUGUUCACUAGGAGGAGUAGGCAUUUUACUUUGAAAAAAUUAGAGUGUUUAAGGCAGGUAAUUGCCCGCAUAUAUUAGCAUGGAAUAAUAGAAUAGGACACUUUUCCAUUUCGUUGGUUAUUGGAAUCGUGUAAUGAUUAAUAGGGACAGUUGUGGGCAUUUGUAUUUAAUUGUCAGAGGUGAAAUUCUUGGAUUUAUUAAAGACAAACUAACGCGAAAGCAUUUGCCAAGGAUGUUUUCAUUAAUCAAGAACGAAAGUUAGGGGAUCAAAGACGAUCAGAUACCGUCCUAGUCUUAACUAUAAACUAUUCCGACUCAAUGUUUGACUGGCUUAUAUAACCAGUUGAGCGUUGUAUGAGAAAUCAAAGUCUUUAGGUUCUGGGGGGAGUAUGGUUGCAAAGCUGAAACUUAAAGGAAUUGACGGAAGAGCACAACCAGGAGUGGAUUCUGCGGCUUAAUUUGACUCAACACGGGGAAACUUACCAGGUUAAAACAAUAGUGGGAUUGACAGUUUGAGAGCGCUUUCUUGAUUGGUUGGGUGGUGGUGCAUGGCCGUUCUUAGUUGGUGGAGUGAUUUGUCUGCUUAAUUGCGUUAACGAACGAGACCUUAACCUGCUUACUAGACUGGCGAUC